GCCCAGCAGACCAGGAAAAAUGCUUUGCCCUGCCCUGCCGUGGAAGGCGUUGUUCACUCUUGGCCUCCGUGCCGACCUUUGGCCAUUGUCCUUUCAGUUUCCUACUGGAACUUAACCUGGACAUGGCCUAACCUCAGUAACAUGGAUGAAUGAGUUUUAUAAAAACAUUAAGAUCUCCUGAAAUUCUGGAACGGAUGGAAGUAUUUUUCAUGAAGACAGGAAAUACCUUCUCAACAGCUUUGAAAACCAGACAAAACGACCCCAAAAGAGCAGGCCCCUCGGGUGCAGAGAGCUGUGUGGGCUGAAUCUUCAACUGCAGGAUUAACCGUGGGGAUCUGUGGCCACACCCGGUGAUUUUACACACGGAAAAAAAUCAAAUUGGUGAAGUAAGAUCUGUGUCACCUUCUUUAAAAUGUACUGUCACUUCUCUGAUGCAGUUGUGCAAGAUUCAGCAAGGAGAUGCAGGUAGUCCUCCCCUGGCAGGAUGCCAGCGUGCACCAGCUUCAGCCGCAUCUGUCCACAGUUAGGCAGAACGGCUCGGUUCUGUCUGUCUCCAGUCACCUUAUCCGGGAAGUCUGAAUACUUGCAUGAAGCAUGCGUUUGGAUGUUAGCUCUUUAGGACACAAGUCGUUUUGUAAAUGUCUGCACCACUCAACCAGCUAGUGACUGAUGAGACCAGUUCUUUCCAAACCUCUCAGCAGUGGGUCACCGUGCCUCUGUCUUUCAGGCCACACAUGGGCAGCAAAGCAUACCUUGUCUUCCAGGGAGCACUCACGGGACCUUUUACAAGUAGAUAAUCGGUGGAGGGAAGCAGCCAUCCAAACACGGAAGUGACGCAAAGGCACCAGAGAUGAGAACCCAGGAAAUGAAAUUCAAGUUGAACACCGGUGAAGUCAAGAUAGCGUUCUAAACGCUACCUCAGCAACCAAAAGGAGAUGAAUAAGGGAGAAGUUACGGACAUAAAUAAGGGAGAGAUGAAGGGAGAGUGCUGUCCUAGAGGAAGUGACACCAGAAAAAAA
Molecule: long non-coding RNA, 1019 nt
Organism: Octodon degus (degu)
Lineage: Eukaryota; Metazoa; Chordata; Mammalia; Rodentia; Octodontidae
Exons: 3
Source: RefSeq, a predicted model, not a curated record